This is a small nucleolar RNA of Diceros bicornis minor, 64 nucleotides long. RefSeq annotates it as Z6 small nucleolar RNA. NCBI's taxonomy places the organism in Eukaryota, Metazoa, Chordata, Mammalia, Perissodactyla, Rhinocerotidae. The record is from RefSeq and is a predicted model, not a curated record. The transcript has a single exon.
UGCUGGUCAUGAAGCUCCCCAUCUCAGAACACUGGGCCCUGCCUGGGGUAAGCCAUCGCCAGCU